GAGAGCGAGACUCAGAGUCAGGUGGUGUCUUUACGGGGGGAUCUGACCUGGUUUUCCUGCUGCUAAUUGAAUCUUAUCUUUAACAUCAAGGUCUCGAUUGGACAGGUAGAUGUAAAUGUCCACAAUACAGUAUGGCGUGCAGUGGUGAAUAAAAGCGGUCUGCCAUUGCUAAAAAGCACACAGGUCUUCAAUACACACCAUCUACCUAGCAGUACAGAAGAUGAGUAAGGAUAAAGACAAUAACAUGUUGUGGCAGGGAGAGAAAAGAAAGAGAAUUAACUUCACUCAGAGAUGGAGAAAGAUAAGAAAAACAGGACAAGAGAGGAACAACAGAGGUUAGAUUUAAA
This is a long non-coding RNA of Oreochromis niloticus (Nile tilapia), 347 nucleotides long. RefSeq lists it as uncharacterized. NCBI's taxonomy places the organism in Eukaryota, Metazoa, Chordata, Actinopteri, Cichliformes, Cichlidae. The transcript is spliced from 3 exons. The record is from RefSeq and is a predicted model, not a curated record.